GUCAGAUCCUCAGCCAACACUCUGGAUGUGGUGGGCAAGCUAUGUCAUCAUCUUGGACCACCAUGGAGAAGCUGGCCUGUUUUGUGUAAGAACAGAGAGAUUCUGUCUGGUCUUGGAUCCCACAUCAUGACUGUGCAGCACUGGGUAUAAGGCGCACUUGGGAGCCUGAGUGAAGAACAUUGGGAAGGGGUCUGGAAGUUCUCUGCACUACAGCCUCCAGGAAGAGAAAAGCUAUCGCAUGGAUGAAGCCCAAAGAUACGCACUGAUGCUUAGCCAUUGCCAACUGAGGCUGGUCCUGCAGCAUCAGAGGAAACAAGAGCCUUCACAGUGAGGAGUCCAGACCACCCUGACCCUGGCCACUUCUGAGCUGAGGAAAGUCAAGCCUGAGAAAGAUCCUUCCUACCCAGAAAAACCCCUCCUUUCCAGACAUGGCCUCCCAGGACCUCUGUGUUACUCCCUCUGUAUGCAGGUGCAGAGAGGACAGCUGGGUGAGGAGGGGUUCAGACAUCAGGAGCCAGACUAGACAGGUCUGCGUCCAGCUCUGUCAGGGUCACAUUCAAUCUGAGGAGGUAGAGAACAUUCCGUGGACCCCAGGCCGUGAAGGACUUGCACCGCUAAGACCUACAUGAAGACCGAGCUAAGCAGAUAAGUGGCAGUAGAGAAAGAGUGGGAACUCAAGCUUGAAGGACUGGGACGGAGCUCAGUGACGGAGCACUUACUUAGUGUUUGCAAGACCCUGAGUUUUCUCCUAAUGUCAAAGCCCCCAAACAACAAUGAACUCAAGCUUGGCUAGCUUGACAACCUAGUGUGCAAUAACCCAUUCUAAUUUUUUUUUUUUGGCAGGGGCAGGGGAAUCAAA
This is a long non-coding RNA of Peromyscus californicus insignis, 859 nucleotides long. RefSeq lists it as uncharacterized. The record is from RefSeq and is a predicted model, not a curated record. Lineage: Eukaryota; Metazoa; Chordata; Mammalia; Rodentia; Cricetidae. The transcript is spliced from 3 exons.